CCUACGGGGGGCAGCAGUGGGGAAUAUUGCACAAUGGGGGAAACCCUGAUGCAGCAACGCCGCGUGAGCGAUGAAGGCCUUCGGGUCGUAAAGCUUUGUCCUAAGGGAAGAAUACUGACGGUACCUUAGGAGGAAGCCCCGGCUAACUACGUGCCAGCAGCUGCGGUAAUACGUAGGGGGCUACCAUAACCCGGAAGUACUGGGCGUAAAGGGUGCGUAUGCGGCCCUUAAAAUCAGAGGUGAAAGGCUACGGCUCAACCGUAGUAAGCCUUUGAAACUGUAGGGCUUGGGUGAAGGAGAGGAGAGUUGAAUUCCCUGUGUAGCGGUGAAAUGCGUAGAUAUUGGGAGGAACACCAGUUGCGAAGGCGGCUCUCUGGACUGUAACUGACGCUGAGGCACGAAAGCGUGGGGAGCGAACAGGAUUAGAUACCCUGGUAGUC
Molecule: ribosomal RNA, 440 nt
Filed under: uncultured bacterium
Lineage: Bacteria
Description: bacterial SSU rRNA
Rfam family: Bacterial small subunit ribosomal RNA
Source: RNAcentral